GGGAAAGAGGUCUAAUGGAUUUGCAUUUGGUCCACUUGUAGGAAUAGCUGCCGUUUGCGCAGGCUGUUGAGGUUGUGCUGCAGGGUUAGUGGCUUGCCCAACUACAGGAGCACGGGCCACAGGUGGAGCUUCAGCUUGCUCGGGGAUGCCCUGGCAUUUGCAACAAUAAUUUAUGACACGAUGGCAAGCAGCAGCUUAGGAAACAAAAUGCAUGCUUGUUAUAUUUUUUUUUAAAAAAAAAGAAAAGAAAGAUAAGCGUGCAGUAUACAAUAUCAUUAAAACCCACCAUAAAACAAAUUAAAACACACCAGAAAUCCAAUAUUCCUGUUCACUUUUUUUUUUUGGGGGGGGGUGUUAAGUCAAAAAAGUUAUCAUCAAAGGAAAAUUCACAAUUCCCACACACUUAUCCACCAAGUCAAAAAGGACCAGCAAAAUGGAACAGAGGAGGCAUAUUUUGGGUGUGCAGAAAUUCGAUCAUCAUCGACCAAUAAAUCAUGGCAAGGAGAAGGCCAAGUUUCAAAUAGAAUUACAUCAAAUUAAAAAUGACAAAAUGGCAUAAUCAUCAUUCCAAGAAAACCUCUCAGGAUGAGCUCAGCUUAUUAGGCUAUCCCCACAUCUACAUUAAGGAGAACAACAAAACAACAGCAACUAGAAGCACGCAAGAAAGCACAUAUUCUUCAAGAUACAAGGAAGGUACUUACAGAAUACAAAUAUUCAACAGCUCUCUCUGGGUUAUUAUAAGCAGCACGAAGGGCACGGACAACAGUGUCCCUGUCCCAGGUCCCUCCACCCAUAUCAAGAAUCUGUUGGAUUGUUCCCUCUAAGUUACUCCCUGCAACCAGGUUAGAUGCUGCUUGGCCAUAAACAUCA
This 870-nucleotide long non-coding RNA is filed under the name Gossypium barbadense (sea-island cotton). Its description in RNAcentral is "long non-coding RNA (GBAR_LNC012204)". Lineage: Eukaryota; Viridiplantae; Streptophyta; Magnoliopsida; Malvales; Malvaceae. The record is from RNAcentral.